This 395-nucleotide ribosomal RNA is filed under the name uncultured Strobilidiidae. RNAcentral describes it as "partial small subunit ribosomal RNA". It matches the Rfam family "Eukaryotic small subunit ribosomal RNA", at positions 30 to 432 of the family's 1831-position model. The record is from RNAcentral. Lineage: Eukaryota; Ciliophora; Spirotrichea; Choreotrichida; Strobilidiidae.
GCUUGUCUCAAAGAUUAAGCCAUGCAUGUCUUAGUGUAAAUAACUCUUAUGAAACUGCGAAUGGCUCAUUAAAUCAGUUAUCGUUUAUUUGAUGGUCCCUUACUACAUGGAUAACCGUAGUAAUUCUAGAGCUAAUACAUGCUGUAAAGCCCGACUUCUCGGAAGGGCCGUAUUUAUUAGAUAACAGACCAGCAGCUUCGGCUAUUGUGGUGAAUCAUAGUAACUAAUCGGAUCGCAUGGGCUAGUCCCGCGACAAACCAUUCAAGUUUCUGCCCCAUCAGCUUUCGAUGGUAGGGUAUUGGCCUACCAUGGCGUUAACGGGUAACGGAGAAUUAGGGUUCGAUUCCGGAGAGGGAGCCUGAGAGAUGGCUACCACAUCCAAGGAAGGCAGCAGG